UACGUAGGCAGCGAGCGUUGUUCGGAAUUACUGGGCGUAAAGAGUGUGUAGGCGGUGUUCCCAGUCUGUUGUGAAAUCUCCCGGCUUAACUGGGAGGGUGCAGCGGAAACUAGAAUGCUAGAGGGUGGGAGAGGUAAGCGGAAUUCCUGGUGUAGCGGUGAAAUGCGUAGAUAUCGAGAGGAACACCAGUGGCGAAGGCGAGUCUCUGGACGACUCCUGACACUGAGGCACGAAAGCUAGGGGAGCAAACAGG
Molecule: ribosomal RNA, 253 nt
Filed under: uncultured bacterium
Lineage: Bacteria
Description: partial 16S ribosomal RNA
Rfam family: Bacterial small subunit ribosomal RNA
Source: RNAcentral